RNAcentral lists this non-coding RNA (177 nucleotides) under Gammaproteobacteria bacterium 53_120_T64. RNAcentral describes it as "6S RNA". It matches the Rfam family "6S / SsrS RNA". From Rfam's summary of the family: E. coli 6S RNA was the first non coding RNA to be sequenced, but its function was unknown until recently. The record is from RNAcentral. Lineage: Bacteria; Pseudomonadati; Pseudomonadota; Gammaproteobacteria.
CGACACCUGGGGUGUUUGCCAGUCGAGAAGUUCUUGAGCCGAUUUUUACACCAAGGGAGAUUACCCGCGCUGCUGGUGUGCAUAUCCGCUUGACGGAGAGCCUAAUGUUGCACGGCGUCCCCCACCUUGAACCGUCGGGUUCAGGGCCACAUCGACAGCGGCAUUCCCGGGCCUUUU